Silurus meridionalis is the source of this 6695-nucleotide long non-coding RNA. RefSeq lists it as uncharacterized. The transcript has 3 exons. Lineage: Eukaryota; Metazoa; Chordata; Actinopteri; Siluriformes; Siluridae. The record is from RefSeq and is a predicted model, not a curated record.
AGUAUAUCGUAUGGAAUUUCCCAUCAACAUUUUAAAAACAUGUCACCAUCUUGAUAUGGGACUUCUCUCAUUCCUAGCAUGUACUGAAUUCUAAGUUGGGCAUAUUUUGAGAGACUAUAAUAUUACAUUUAUACAUCUGUAGCCCAUAUUCCUUAUUAUGGCAUUUGUUUUACAGUAAGGGCAAGGAAAAGAGAAUGGCAUUCAAUUGUUUGAAAAGGAAUUAUGGCCUAUAUUUGUUUCAAGUCCUGAUUUAGGGAUGGGACGCUGACGAAAGCUGAGCUCCGCCCCCUCCUAGGCUUUAGCAGCAGAACAGAAAUACUACUAACGAGCUUUUCUUCUCACCUUUUCUGUGUUUAUAUGUGACCUGGGCUUCAUUGACCUUCUCCCAUGUCAGCAUGGAGACAAAUUUAGUGCUCCAGUUUCCGGAGAGACCAAAUAGCCUGACAACACUGAAACCAGGGUGAGAAUAUUUACACUUUUAAGAUACGGAUACUCGAAUUACAGCUCUGGUCCUCCAGAAAUAUCAAAGUAAGCAUUCAACAUGUAGAGACAAGAUCAUCUUGCAAAAGUAGAUAUUUCUUUCUAUGGGGGUUUUGAUAGACUGGAAUGUGGCUGGCAUGCCAGAAGUGCCUGGCUGGCAUAGAAUGGCAAUCAUGUUGUAGCUGUAUUGACAUGUCUGUUCAUUCCAACACUGAGGCGUCUGCCACGUCACCAUUGGCCUGCAAAUCUUUUUCCACCCUCUACUGGGUGGAAAUCAUGCACCCUCAAGGAUCACAGAGUUUUAAAUAACCAGCUAUACUGUGCAUGGGGAAUUUACAUACAGUAACAACCAUGCAACACUUUAUCUCAUUUUAGACAUUAGUUUCAAGGGUCAGUUUCUUUCAUCCAUCAUCUAUAUCACUUAUCCUACACAGACUCACAGGGAUUCCUGGAUCUUAUCCCAACGCUGACCCAAUCACAUAAAUUCACACACUGCAGGCAAUUUGGAAAUGCCACUCAGAAUUAGAGGAAACCCCCAAAUUCUCGCCCAACCUUGGAGGUGUGAGACAAGUGUGCCAUCCAUUCAAAACAUGUAAUGAGUUUUGUGUUUCUGUCAAUAUAACCAGUGGUGCACAGUAACAAAAUAAAUGUCAUUUGUUGCUAUACUUAAGUAGCUUUUUCGCAUAUCUGUACUUCACUGUAAUUUCCAUUUAGAGAGACUUUUAUUUUACCUUCACUACAUUUCAAAGUCAAAUGAUUGUUUCCAGCUUUAUAAAAACUCUACAGUAGCCAUUUUCUUCCAGUCAAGCUUUGGACAGUGUUGCACAUUCUUUGUUCUCUAGUCUCCAUUAUUUUGUGUUACAAAUCCUGCUACAUUUAUUGUUUAUUUCUGUCCAUGUCUGUUUCCUGGGUAUCUCUAGUUUACAUAAAAUAGGUUUGGUCUGUCUCUAGUUCCUGUUUGGCGAUGCUCACUAUCUAUGCAAUUCUGUUCAUACCACCUGGCUUGAAGGCCAGGUAUAGUGUUUUUGGUGAGUAAUAAUCUUGUUUUUGCAUCAAAGAUAUGAUGCAAACAUUAAUAUAAUGCAUUGGUCACAGGGUUUGUUUUGAUUCGAUAAGUAGGAUUGGAUGUUUGUCAUCUGGGGGAGUGGUAGUUCAUUGGUUAGGGCUCUGGGUUGCUGAUUGGAGGAUCUGUUGUUCAAGCUCUGGUAUCGCCCUUGAACAAGACCCUUAACCCUCUGUGCCCCAUGGGCGCUGUAUCAUGGCUGACAUACCGCUCUAACUCUGGGUUUAAAACCAGGUGGGAUAUGCGAAGAAAAUAAUUUUGCUGUGUUGUAAUGUAUAUGUGCCAAAUAAAGGCUCUAGUUUAGCCACCCUAUCCCAUAACAGAAUUUGUGAAGAAUACAAGAGAUUGCUGUAACAUUCAAGGAGUGACAAGUACUUGCCAGAUAUUCCUGCAGCAUGUUUAAGGUUGUUGUUGGUCUCUUGGCAGCCUUCCUGUUACCUUUCCAUCUUGUUUUUUCAAUUUCUGGGAAACUCUUAGUAAUGUCACUGUAGUGUCUAAUUUUAUCCUUAAUUGUUGUUGUGCAUUCAAGGUGAUCCAUGGUGCCAAUCAUUCUUUGAAACUUCUUUUGUGCCUCUCUAUUUGUACCUUUUGUCCAUAGCUUUAGUAAGCAGAUGAAACCAUUAAGGUGAUAGAGUUUUUUCAUAUCACUUCAUUUAAGCAAUAUUGUGUAGUCACUUUGAACCAUGUGUGUGAUUGUGAACAACAGUGUAUACAACCUUUGGCAACCAGGAUAAUGUAUUUUUGUUGUUUUAGUUUUUUCCCCACCAUCAAUAUUUAUUUAGUUUUUUAAUCCGAAUUAUAUCAGUUGCUGUAUAUGUAGCAUCCUCACCACCUGAUGAGGGGAGAUAUGAAUGAUGCUGCUUCACCAUCAGAAUCUCUGUAUUUUCUGAGCAGCGCAAUCAAGCAAUCAGUGUAUCUUUCAAGGAAGAACAGGGAACACUGACCCUCACAGAUAAGACACUAUACAGUGCAUUCGAAGAGUACAUUCACUUGUUUUAAGUUCAGUGUUACUCUGAUAUAAUUUAUUUAUUUGUUAUUUUUUAUUGCCUACGUUUAUUUAUUUAUUAAUUUUUGGAACCAGCACACUUUCCCCGUCAAAAUAAAUGUCAGCCCGACAUUACUCUCCCUUUUCUCAACCCAACUACAAUAUAUAAUUUCUCCUGACAAUACCUUGUGAUUUCAAUGCCCUCCUGUCGGUAUGAAUUCUCCCAUUACAGGUAGUCGUCGACUUACGAGCACGAUUGGGACCGACAGACUGGUCGUAACACGAUUUGGUCAUACGUAGAGAAGGCUAUAUGUACAGUACUGUGAAAUGAUCCUGAAAGCUGGUAUGCACUGUCGUAACACGAUUUGGUCAGCUAGCGAUUUUGGUUGGCUAGCAAUUGUGGUCGUAAAGUCGAAUGGUCGUAAGUUGCAUAGGUCGUAAGUCGACGACUGCCUGUACUUGUGUAAUGCAUGUCAUGAAUAGAGGCAUAUGUUGGAAACUACGUAGUCUUCCUUCUUUGAGCUUCAUUCUUUUUUCUCCAUUACUUCAGUCACUUUAAUAGAUGUACGAGUAUGCUGGCUCAGACUGUUGCACUAGGUAAGUCUGUGGAGUUAAAUUCUGCAUGUCAUAUGGCAUGGAUUGAAACGCUAUUGGUUUGUAUGCCCUAUAACAUGCCAGAGUAUCCAGACAAUCAUAAGUAAAUGUCUUUGGUGGUCUCCUUUCUCUCUUAGGCCAUCUGUAUUCCUGAUCUGUCUCCCUGUCAUUCUCAACCGGUGUUACCAGUACAUCUUAAAUGUCAUCAGGUCUCCCUCCAGGUUGUUCAUUUUCCAUCACACCAACUGCCUGUUGAGGCAUUUCCUUAUUUUUUAUUUGAACUCCUUUUCCACAAUCCUUUUCUGCCUCUUCGCAAAUUUUUUGAGUUUCCUCUUCAGGUUCACUGGACCGGAUAGCUGUAUCUUCACUUACUAAUCCUCUGUUUCCUUCUGCAGGUUUAGACACUGGACCUCAGGUACACUUUUCUCUCCCAGCUCAAUGCCUUCUUGCCCAGGUUGCUGGGGCUAAUCUGCAGGUUGGUAACGAUAGUAAGGAUAAGCUUCCUCCUCUUCCUCUUCUGGGACUCAUUCACAUCUACCUACUGGUUUUGUCUUUUCACUGGUCUUUCUUUUUUCUUCCUUCUUCACCGAGGUCAAAUCACUAAUGGUAAACUCCUCUGUAAGCUGACUGAAUGGUCGCUUCGACACAGUCAGAUAGUAAUUCCUCUGUGCAUUCUUUCAUCACUGUCUCAAUAUCCAAAGGCAUUCUUGAUAGGCUGUCUUUGUCCACAUCUUCUUUGCUGUGUUGUAUUUGAUAUUAAAACGAAAAUCCUCCAGUUCUGCCACCCAUCUUUAGCUUUGCACUGGUUAAGGUGUAAGUGAGAGGGUUAUUGUCACUGUACACAGUAAACGUAGGAGCAUAGUACAAACAUUCCCCAUGUUUUUCCAUGACAGCCCACUUCAGGGUAAGAAACUCCAAUUUCCAUGAGUGGGGACUGUCAGUGCCGGGGAGCCAUAAGCAGUAACUCUAAGCUUUUCACCUUGCUUCCUAUAGAUAGAACUUUCCCCAAAACCCUGAAAGGAUGCGUUCGUAUGAAGUACUAAUGGAUGUGAAAAGUCUGGGAACACAAGUCAGGUGGCUUAACCAAACAGUCUAUCAGCCCCUCCAAUAUCUCCUGGGGCUUGUCCGUCCACACAAUCGGUCUAUGAGAAGGUACUCACUUUUUCCUUUAUCCUGUCAGUUUCUUGUCUACUUACAUUAUUUCUUUCUUGUCUCAGUGUCUUUCAGCAGACCAUACAAUGGACUCGCAAUUUUAGAGAAAUCCCUACAUCCCUAUAUACUGUCGAUAGUAGCUCAACAGGCCCAUGACUGUUCUUAACUGUCCCACUUGGUUUGGUCUUUUAUCUUUCAGGUUUCUCACGGCAUAUGUAUCAGCUGGAUCCAUCUUACUACCUUCCAAAAGACAAUCCUCCCAAGGACUUUCCCUACAUCAUCCACAUGAUCUUCAAAGGUUCGACUAAAAACUAACGUGUCAUCUAGGUAAGAAAAGCAGAUGGUAUAUCUUAGCUCGCCAAGACACUGCUCCAUGCAACGCUGGAAAGCUGAGGGUGCGUUCAUCAGGCCAAACAGGUACCCUAAUCCACUUAUAUAACCUCAAAGGGGUCACAAAGGCUGUUAAGGGUCUGCUCUCCUUGGCCAUGUAGCCCUGAUGAUACAACUUCCUUUAUUCAGGAAUAUAAUGUUUGUUUACAGGCAACACAUUGUCAUAGUCUAAGGCUGAAACCUAUGAUACCACACUGUGCAGAGCUGGGUGGGGACAUCAUUGCAUAACUGGUCACUUCUUGUCCCGCAGUCGUGACCCCGUCUGGUUUAACGGCUGCUCUAUGUACAAGCUGGUCCCUGUGCUCUACAGCCAACCAUGAAAUGAUCGCUACUGCUACACUUAUAACAAAGAGACUUCACUGGUCUGUACUGAAUGUACUGAUACUUGAAAAGGUGAGCUUAUCUUUUUGUCCAUGUUCACCUACCUGUCCUGAUAUCUGAAAUUCUCUGCCCAGGGGGACAUGACUGGCCUGUAUGUCACUAACUGCAACUGGGAGCUUGUGUCUGGCUGGACAUUUUGAUUUUGCAAAGUAGCAGGACCUUGUAUAGUGAUUAGGUUCUGUUGUGUACCUGUGGGUUGUGGUGUAUGGUUAACUGCUCUCUGUUUGUGCUCUAUUAAAUUAGAAGCAAGCUAACUGUAGAGUGUCAUUCUCUUCCGGCAGCUUAUCUUGUUCUGUAGUUUCUGCUACUGGUCUGUGCUACGUUUAGUUCUGAAUCACUGUUUUCACUAAUCUUCUGAAUUUAAGGAUUUUGUCUUUUAAAUACAAGAGCUCAGACAUGCCAGCAUCUUCCAAUUCACAUGCAGCCUCUUGCUCUACAUGUCUCACAAUUACAGAAACAAGAAAUGACCGGCUUUUGCUACUGGCAUCUACACACUCGAUCCCUAGAAAGGCGCAUUGUUCAAUCAAAUUUUCUCAUGACAGAGCACAUACUGCUCCUAUCACCUCAAGCUUCAAAUCCUCUACGUGAUCCAUUAGUUACUCAGUCUCUCAAUGUGUGUAAAGUGAUAGAGGAAAUGUCCUUAGCUGGCUGACAACUUGCAGCGCUUCUGGUAUCAAAGAUCAACCUCAGAUUGCUGGUACUUUCCAUUCUGGCUCGACACGGACACUGAACGUCUUCACUCCACUGGUCACCUGGGCUGAGUAGUAGGGUGAAUGGCGGUGGAAGCGGACUUUCAUCACUGGAAGCCAACUCACACUGCAUUCAUCCCAGUGGUGCCUCCAAAAUGUAGCACCCUCACCACCUGAUGAGGUGAGAUGUGAAUGAUUAAUAAAACACAGGACACAGAGCUGCUUCUUCACCAUCUGAGUCUCUGAGUCUAAACAGCGCGUCCUCCUCCCCAAACAGGUGAACACUUCCCAAGGGAGAACAAUCAAGCAAUCAGUGUUCAAUCAUUCAAGGCUGAGCAGAGAACAUUGGUCGUCACAGAUAAGACACUAUACAGUGUCUUCAAAGCAUACAUUCACUUGUUUUAAGUUCAGUGUUACUCUGAUAUAAUUUAUUUAUUCAUCAUUUUUUUUAUUUCCCACAUUUAUUUAUUUAGUAAUUUUUGGAACCACCACAUAUAUUUAGCUUUGAAGUGCUGUCUGCCAGGUUUAGCUGGAUGUGUUGAAUGCUAGUUCAUUUGACACCCGUUAGCUAGCAUACAAAAUAUUAAAUUUUUUCUAGCAACUAGUCUAUCUAACAAAUAAUGACAGCUGUUCCAACAUAAUCUAUUUUAUGGAAGAAUUCCUCUGUCAAAUACAAGAAUUGGAAGAUUUUUCAGCACACGUGCCACAGAGGCAGCAGUGUUUGGGCAGUAAUGUGAGGUGGGCUGGAGUGAAAGAGUUUGCUACCAUAGUUGGAGAACGAGGGGCAGGUGGCUGAGAAGGGCCUGUCGUGAGGAGGAGCUGAGAGGACAGCUGCUUCUGUCAAACAAUGACUUAUUCUUCACUAUUCACCACUCAGCACUGUACUACACAAACUCCUUGAACGUAUACUGUAACAGGGCAUUUAUGUGUGUGUGUGUGUGUGUGUGUGUGUGUGUGUGUG